AGUGAACGCUGGCGGUAGGCCUAACACAUGCAAGUCGAACGGCAGCACAGUAAGAGCUUGCUCUUACGGGUGGCGAGUGGCGGACGGGUGAGGAAUACAUCGGAAUCUACUUUUUCGUGGGGGAUAACGUAGGGAAACUUACGCUAAUACCGCAUACGACCUACGGGUGAAAGCAGGGGAUCUUCGGACCUUGCGCGAUUGAAUGAGCCGAUGUCGGAUUAGCUAGUUGGCGGGGUAAAGGCCCACCAAGGCGACGAUCCGUAGCUGGUCUGAGAGGAUGAUCAGCCACACUGGAACUGAGACACGGUCCAGACUCCUACGGGAGGCAGCAGUGGGGAAUAUUGGACAAUGGGCGCAGGCCUGAUCCAGCCAUACCGCGUGGGUGAAGAAGGCCUUCGGGUUGUAAAGCCCUUUUGUUGGGAAAGAAAAGCAGCAGGUUAAUACCCCGCUGUUCUGACGGUACCCAAAGAAUAAGCACCGGCUAACUUCGUGC
RNAcentral lists this ribosomal RNA (493 nucleotides) under uncultured bacterium. RNAcentral describes it as "partial 16S ribosomal RNA". It matches the Rfam family "Bacterial small subunit ribosomal RNA", at positions 29 to 508 of the family's 1533-position model. The record is from RNAcentral.